This 20490-nucleotide long non-coding RNA is filed under the name Phoenix dactylifera (date palm). RNAcentral describes it as "long non-coding RNA (PDAC_LNC002417)". The record is from RNAcentral. Lineage: Eukaryota; Viridiplantae; Streptophyta; Magnoliopsida; Arecales; Arecaceae.
UUGUGUUUGAGUGUAAGUAAUCCAAGAAACCCAAUAACAUUGGGUUUGAGCCCAAUGCCCCACAGCCCGAGCUCAAGUCAAGCCAGCAUCUUCCAGGGCCUGCACAUCCUGACUUCAUCCCACGACACAUCACAACAUCGCGAGCAUCUCCGCAUCCAGAUCAGCUCCCUCCGGCUUCAUCCGUCUGCAAUCUCCCAGCAUAGCGCCCAUUAAGCCAUGAACGGCGUCCUCCCGUCGAUCCCGCAGCCAGUCCCUCUUCCAAGCCUCCCAAAUCAGCGAAGCCCCUCACACGUCCGUUUCUUCUUCAGCCGCAUCAUCCUCCUCCAGCUCCCAGCCUCCACCGUGGUCGUGAUCGACUCCUCCCAGCAUCCCAAGAGCCCGUCUGCCCUCUUCCUCCUCCACGAUCCCUCCCAUCUCCACUUCUUCCGCCCGUCCCAGCAGCCUGUGAAGAAGCCCAAGAUCCCAUCCGUAUCCAUCUUCCACGGAUCAAGCCUCUGCAUCCGCCUCUUCCGCGUCAAAGGGAAGAGCAAUGAUCCCGUGGCCAGCCCCUCUUUCCAACCUCUCGCCUCCCAUCCGGCACCCAAAGAAGAAAACCCAUCUCAUCUUCUUCCGUCCGCACAUCAACCUCCCAGAAUCCCAGCGGCCAUCGUCCGGAUCCACCUCCCAAGCAUCGCCUCAUAGAUCGCAUCUGCCCUCUCCUUCCUCGCGUCGAUCCCGUAGCACUCUUCAUUCCGUAUCCACCUCCCGAGAUCUCGCACCCGUUUCUCCUCCUCUCCAUGCUCUGGCGAUCUAUAAGAAGGGGAGAACGAGAGGAAGAAAAAGGGGCUCUCGGCUGGGUGGUGGGCCAAAGAACAGGGAAAACAGGGGAGUGUGGAGGUCGGUUUGGCCAAAGAAACAGGGGAGGUGUGCUCGGUGGAGGCCAAGAAACAGAGGAGGGCGGAUGAGGAAGAAAGAGAUUUUUUUAGUUUUCUGUUUGAGUUUAGUUCUUUUUAUUUAGGAGAGCAAUGUUUUUCUUUAGUUUGAGUUUAUGAGAGCAAUGUAUUUUUUUUAGUUUUACUUUAAUUGAAAGUUUUAAUUGAGAAGUUAUGUUUUAAGUUUUAGAGCAUGUUGUUCUUAUUUUUUAGUUUUAUUUUAGGUUUUGUUUUGAGUUUUAAUUUUUGAGAGUUUAUUUGGGUAGAAAGUUGUAUUUAUUCUGCAAUUUUAAUUUCUGUUCUGCAAUACAUUAAUCUUUUUUCAUGCAAUCUAUAUUCCAGUCUGCAAUUUUUCUAGCACUAUUCCUAACUCAUUUUAUGCCAAAGCUUUUCUUUGAUUAGUUCAAUAUAUAAAUGCCUUUCGAAUUUAAAUACUUGUCUUUUUGUCAAUUUUAAGUAGAAAAUAUUCUCUGGUAGCCCAGAGAAUCAUUCAAACAUCUCCAACGUAAGGUUUUUCUUUCGUUAUUCAAAAAUCGAUUUUGAAUCGGAGUGAAUGUUUCAAUUUUUAUGCAACUCCAAUCACCUCCCUGUAGAUCGACCUCUUACGACCACUAUUCUUAGAGUAGAACAGGUAAGAGUAAAAUUAAUUUAAACUUUGUUUGUCGGUUCUAACAACGAUCUGUUUAGCAUAUUUUUAGAUAAACAAGAAUCGGACAACAACCGGCCGUCACUACAGUUGGCUGGCCAUUACUAGAUGAUAGCCUCCGGCCACCCAGGCUCGGCCACCCCGUCGGCUUUUUCUUCCCUCUCUUCCUUCUUUUCCUUCUUCCUCCCUAUUCAACGGGAUGAAGGACAACUACAGUAAGCCGAGUUGGGUCGAGUUUUGGCCCUAUUGGGUCGUGCCCAUUGUGGGCCAAACUCUAGCCCAGUUUAGCCAUCUUGGCUCUAUUGGGUCGUGCCCAUUGUGGGCCAAACUUGAGCCUAGUUCAGCCAAAUUAGGCCCUAUUGGGCUGUACCCAUUGUAGGCCAAAAUUUGGGCUCAAUUCAGCUAUUUUGAGCCCUCUUAGUCGUGCCUAUUGUGGACCGAGUUCGAGCCCUAUUCACCUUGUUGGGUCGUGACCAUUAUGGACCGAGUUCGGGCCCUGUAGAGCCGUAACCAUUGUGGGCCGAGUUCGUGUUUACCUUGUUGAGAUAUGCCCAUUGUGAGCCGAGUUCGGGCCCUGUAGGGUCGUGCCCAUUGUAUGCUAAGUUUGGGCCCUAUUCACCCUGUUGGAUCGUGCCUAUUGUGGGCCAUGUUCAGGCCUUGUUCACUCUGUUGGGUCAUAUCUAUUGCGAGCCGAGUUCGGGUCGUAUUCACCUUGAGCCUGUUCAUCCCUUAUGAGAUCGUGUCCAAUAGUAUUUUUUUCCUUUGCUUGGCUCUGAAAUUAACAAUAAAAUUAAUUAUAUUUAAACAGGCGAAUUCUAAUCGGCCUAUGUGAAAUAGGAUUUAAAGCGAGAAGAGGUAAGUACCCUAAUGCUUCAAAGUAUAUUUUCUAAAGUAUCUGGUAAAGUAAUUAUUAGUAUAUUAAAUUUUGAUAUAUAUUUUGUACUUAGUUAAACAGGUCAAGCAUGUUAAUAAUUAUUUUAGAAUUAUGUAUGUAUUAUGAAAUCUAAAAAAUAUGACUAGACAAAUUAUAAAAAAUCUAUUUUGUAUGUAUGUAUUCUCAGCAUAGUUAUGAUUGUUCUGGCUCCAACAAUGAAGAUUAUUCGGUUGGCUCUGUCAACUUAUAAUAUGUGAGAAACUAAUUUUGCACCGCAUCACCGAUGAUAAAAAUAGUAGUAUUUGGGCACUGUUGCUACCGGUGGUUAAUAGUAAUAGAUUUGGUACUUUGUGCAACCUAUGCCACUGGGUUACAUGGCUAUAGCCUAUUGAUAUUGGAAUUCUGCUAUCAGAGUUUUUAUGAAAAUAAUGAUAAAUUUCAAAAAAUAUAUAUAUAUUGAUAAUUUAUUUUUCAGUCGAUAUUUUAUGUUUCAAUUAAAUAUCUAGCAUGCUUUGACCCACUCUAGGGUAUUAUAUUGCUUACUAGGAUAAUGUAGCUCAUUAUCAUAUUUCUCUAUUUUUCACAUCCAGAGGCGUGAUGGCCUGAGACUGGAGUGUGCACUAGAUUGUUGAAGAUCCUUCAGUUAUUGGCAUUUUAGAUAGAUUAGUUAGAUUAUUGGAUUUAUGUUUGCUUAUAUUCUUUAAAACUUUUGUAAUAACCAUUUGAAGUAAUUAAUGAUUAAAUAAAUUUUAAAAAUUUGUCGUUACUUUGAUAUGAUCCGUUACCUUGCAUGCAUGUACGUACGGUCCGCUCUAUAGAUGUACAAUUUCUGUCGUGCUCUAGGCUUGAGAUGUAACAGAUUUGGUGGUAUUAAAGCCUAAGUUUUUGGAUCCUUGGAAUUCGUCGGAAACUUUGAGAGAUAUGUAGACAUUGGGCAAUGAGACAAAUGUCUUUAUUUGCUUUUGUUAUUGAUAAAUUUGUAUUACGGUAUCUGAAUUUUUUUGAGAUGCUUAUUAAAAUCAGAAUGCUCGCUAACUGUGCUCAUAGCCAAUGUAUGAAUAAACUAUUUUGGGUGUUUUUUCGAUAGAGCAAUUUGUAUUUCAGGUUAUGAUUAAAAUAGAUUUUGACUAAAAUCAAAUGGAGUACUAGCCAUGGAAUAUUAUCAUACAUUGUAAUUAUUUGUUUAUUUAGUGAUUUUGGAAGUUCAACUUAAUAUAGAGUAUUAUGAUGUUACUUCUAGCUUGAAAUUAAUUAUUUCGGUGGCAAGUUAUGGCUCAUUUAUAAAAUGUUGUUUAAGGUUUGGACUAGAAAAUAUUUUAUGAUAUUCAUUGAAAUAUUCUUCAAGGAUUGAAAUUUGUAUGUGGAUCAUGCAUGAAACUCUUAUGUAGAAAGAAAAUAUAUUUGGGAUGAGACUCUAGAAUUUUCUUUCGCUUUAUCUAGAAUUUGAAAUUUUAGAUCUUUUCAAAUUACUAUGUAGAUUAGUAUUUUGUUUGGAAGUUACUUUAUAAAUUAUGAGAAAGUAUAGUGGUUUGAAUUAUUUUAUAUCUUGUCAACAAUAUUAAAUCUGUGAUCUAGAAAUGUUUUGAUGGUUUUUCUUGUUAUGGAUAAUUUUGUUGUAAAAAAAAGAAAAAAGAAAAGAAUAGUGUUUUGAUUUUGACUGAUAUGGAUAUCAUUGUGUUAUUAAUAGGUUCUUCUAUCUGCUAUGUAAAAAAAAAAGGGAGAAAUCUGGCAUCUCAAGUCUAAGACUAAUAGAAUGUUGGUUCCUGCAUUAGCUAAUAUUAUAUUUGAAAUGUUUUAUGUAGAGAUCUCUUUGCCCUUAGAUUUAUGGUUUAUGCCUUUGAAAGAAUUCAAAAAUAAUUAUCAAUCUUGAAAAAUAUUUUACGCUCAAAUAUUCUACUAUGCAUAAAGUGGAGUAGUUUAUGAUCUUAUGAUAGGUCAACAUUAGUUGAUAUUUUGACAAAAAAAAAAUAUUGUUGCAAAUUAUGAAUGUGAUUUAGAACUGGAGGAAUUGGAACGGUUUAGCUAUCUUGAGAGCGAAAAAAUAUAUAUAUUACUAAAAGGAUCAAAUAGUUAGUAAAUUUAUGAUGUUUUGAGUAGAUCCUCUAAGACAGACUAGUCUCUUUUUUUUAGAUAGUCUAGUAGAUUUACAAGAUCAUGAAUGUUUGCAAUAUUGCNNNNNNNNNNNNNNNCUUAUUGUAGGAAUUGAUCUCAAUGUAAAAUCAUAGAACUUCUAUCUUGAUGGAAUUUUUUGUAAAUUUUUGAACCAAAUUAUUAUAUUUUAUGAUAAUAAUAAUAAUAAUAUAAAUCAAGGCUAUGAGUUGAUCAUGGAUCACCAUAAGUGAGAUGCUAGUAGAAUUUCAUGAGAGGCCUCAAUGAAUUUAAUCUAGAACAUAAAAUUCGAAAAGGUUGAAUAUGCUUCUAAGUAAGUUAAUCUAAGAUAUUUUAAUUUAUUGGAGCAUCGAAUUAAUAUUCUCAAAAGAGAUAUCAAUAUCAAAUUAUAUAAUUCAAUUGUCAAGAAAAUCUAGAGUUGGCUUAUCUCAAAUUGGAUCUAGAAUAUGAUUACUUGAUCAUACAAUGGUGCACAUAUGGCGAUUAUCUCGAGGGUUAAUCAUGAUCUAUGCUUGGAAAGUAAGGAUAAAAUUUUUCUUGGAUACUUUUUUGAAAAAAUGAUGAUCUAGUAUUAUUAAGGAAUUUUGGAGAAUAUUGAUCAGAGUUGCACAGCGAAAAUAUGGUGAAUUGAGUCAUUUUAAACUACUCAAAGAUAUUGACUGUGUUUUAUAAUAUGUUAUGAUAGAAGACUAGAUUUUUCAAUAAAAAAAAUUUUGUUGAUAAGGAAAGAAGAAUACUAUUGAUUCUCAGGUUAAUAACGAUAUGACUAUGUUAUCUCUUUAAUAGAUUUUUCUAUUAUUGAUAUGCUAAAGAAAAUUUUGAGCAUUUCAUGAAUAGGGUGAGUUGAUCAUUGAUCAAAUAUGAUCUAAAUUUUUAGGUAUCCAAAUAAGUCGUGUGUUAAUUAUUCCCUCAUUAUGAUUUACAAAUUUAAGCAAAAUUUAAAGCAUUGUGGCUUAUCGAAUCGUGGUAUCAAUAUUUUGCUUUCUCAGACUUGCUCUUGUGAUUUGAUGCCAAACAUUAUUAGAGAUAGACCAUUGUUGUCUAAUGACCAUCAUUAUAUGUUCAUUUUGUAAACCACAUUCCUAGUGAUAUGAUGAUUUGACUCUAAUUAAGGUUGGUCAUUAACUUUUGUGGAUCAACACCCUACCCUAAUAAGUGUAUCAAAUCCAUUUUAUUUCAAAUUCUAUCCCAAAUACAAUUAAUUUUAAUCGAUCUUGCUGUGAAUUGAUCCCAAUCCGAUUUGGAGUGAACUUGCAUCAAAAUGAUAAUUUCAAUCUUGAAUAUUAGUUAGUCACUUAUCUAGUACUAAUCUUGCAAGUUUAUAUAAAAUUUCUGAUAAUUGAUCCAAUAUUAUUUAUCACAUUAUUUUUGAUCAAGGAGAAUAAGAUCUUGGAUUUAUGUUACUCAAUAUGCUGAAUAUUUCUAAAUUUGGAAGGCCUAGAUUCUUCAAAUUUUGAGGACGAAAUUUUUUUUAAAGCAGGAAAAUGUGAGACUUGACCCAAAAUGGGCUGAAGCCAAUAGGCCCAGCCGACUUCGGCCCAUGAAGCAACGAAAAACCAGAAUAGAGGAUCGCGAUUGCGAUCGCGAUCCUCUGCUCUAUCUUCUUUGGAGAGAUGAGGUCGCAGAGUCGUGGCCAACUCUGCAGUAGUUGAACUCCCCUACUCUGCAGGGAGCUAGAAAGGAUGUUGGCUGUCCCAUGGUGUCGUUGCCCACGAUCCUCGUGGGCGGUGCAACUGCUUAUAACCAUUCGAAAGCCUAUAAAAUCCCUCCCCCUCAUCCCUCUCAGAGUCGUCCCGAGAUCUACCUCUGAACCUUCUCCUCCUUCUCCAUCUCCUCACUCCUCCUCCCUCUCCGGUGGUCGGGGUGCCGCCCCAGCCAAGCACAACCACUCGAGUUCUCUUUCCCUUAUUUUUCUUAUUCCGAGAUCCACUUUGCCGUUGGAAGCCAGUGCUAGUUGAGCAGCCAUAGUCGAGAUCCACCGCCUCCGUCGACGUGCCGGUGAGCCUUCCUUCCCUCUUUUCUUCUAUUUUUGGUUAAACCAAAGCCAAUUUCUUCCUCUAUUCUGGCCCCAAACCGAGACUAUUUUAAGUUUUUCCUUCUCGUCAAUCGUCGCAGCGGCCGCCGGCUGCCACUACGGUUGAUUGGCUAUCGACCUAACGACGAACUCCAGCCAUCCAGGCUCGGUCACCCCGUCGGCUUCUCCUUCCCUCCCUUCCUUCUUUUCCUUCUUUCUCCCUGUUCAACGAGAUGAAGGACAGCCACAGUGAGCCGAGUUGGGCCGAGUUUGGACCCUAUUAGGCCAUGCCUAUUGUGGGCCAAACUUGGGCCUAAUUCAGCCAUCUUGGGCCCUAUUAGACUGUGCCCAACGUGGGCCAAACCUACGCCCAGUUUAGCCAUAUUAGGCCCUGUUGGAUCGUACCCAUUGUGGGCCAAAAUUUAGGACUAAUUCAGUUAUUUUGGGCCCUAUUGGGCCGUGCCCAUUGUGGGCCGAGUUCGGGCCCUUUUCACCUUAUUGGGUUGUGCCCAUUAUGGGCCAAGUUCGGGCCCUAUUGGGCGGUGUCCAUUAUGGGGCCGAGUUCGGGGGCUGUUCACCUUGUUAGGUUGUGCCCAUUGUGAGCCGAGUUUGGCCCCCAUUGGGCCUUGUCCAGGGCCAAGUUUGGGCCCUUUUCACCCUGUUGGACUGUGCCUAUUGUGGGCUAUGUUCGGGCCCUAUUCACCUUGGGCCUGUUCAUCCAUUAUGAGGCCAUGUCUAAUAGUAUUGUUGGCUUUGCUUGGCUCUAAAAUUAAAAAUAAAAUUAAUUAUAUUUAAACAAAUGAACCUAGUCCGCCUACCUAAAGUAGGAUUUAAAAGCGAGAAGAGGAAGUAACCUAAUACUUCAAAAUAUAUUUUCCAAAAUAUUUGGUAAAGUAAUUAUUAGUGGAUUAAGUUUUGAUAUAUAUUUUGUACUUAGUUAAAUGGGUCAAACAUGUUAGUAAUCAUUUUAAAAUUAUGUAUGUGUUAUGAAAGCUAAAAAAUAUGACUAGAUAAAUUAUGAAAAAUUUAUUUUGUAUGUAUAUAUUCUCAGCAUAGUUAUGAUCUGUUCUGGCCCUGCUAAUGGAAAUUAUUUGUUGACCCUAUUGACUUAUAAUCUGUGAGAAAGUGGUUUCCACACCACACCACCGGUAAUUAGAAGAGUGGUAUUUGGACACUGCUGCCACCGAUGGUUAAUAAUAGUGGAUUUGGCACUUUGUGUAACCCAUGCCACUAGGUUACGUAGCCAUAGCCUAUUGAUGUUGGAAUUCUUGUAUCAGAGUUUUUAUUAAAAUGAUAAUAAAUUUAAAAAAUAUAUUUAUUGAUGUUGGUAUGCUUUGACCCUACUCUAGGGUAUUAUGUUACUUAUUGGGCUAGUGUUGCUUAUUUUCAUAUUUGUCUAUCUUUUAGAUAUAGAAGCGAGAUAGCACGGAACUAGAGUUUCUGCUAGAUUUCUGAAGAUUCUUCGGUUAUUGGCAUUUUAGUUAGAUUAGUUAGAUUAUUGGAUUUAUGUUUGCAUAUGUUCUAUGAAACUUUUGUAAGAACCAUUUAAAUUAAUUAAUAAUUAAAUAAAGUUUUAAAAAUUUGUCACUGCUUUGAUAUGAUCCAUUGCCCUGCAUACUUGUACGAUUUGUCGUGCAAGCAUGCAGUAUCUGUCGUGCUCCGGUCUUGGGGCAUGACAGAUAACAUCACCAAAAAUAUCAAACGAUAAUAACAUUUUAACAAUUCAUGUGUAAAUCACUAAAAUAAAGUGUGAACCUGAUUUUAUAUUGAUGUGUUGUUAAAACCAAGCCAUUAUGAGAAUUCAAGUAGAAAUCAGAAGGCUGAUGAGAUGUAUCUAACAGUAUAUAAUUUUGAUUGGAUACUUGUGGGUUUUUCAAAUGAAUCAAAGUACUAAAAUUUAUGCACCCCAUCAGAAUUAAAUUUAAUGAAAUUGAUUACAUAUUAUAUUUUUUUCUAAAAUUUUUUGAUGGGUUAAAAAAAUUAUUUUUAACUUGAUUUGAUCCGAUCUAUUUAAUGUACAAGUUACAUAAGCUCAGACAGUUUAACAAUUAGAAGAAAAUAUUUUUUGAUAUGAAAUCUAUUACCAAUAUUGCAAGUGACGCCAAUGGUCUAAGACGCAAUUAUUAAUAACUUAUAGGGAGACCAAUUUAACCAAAAAGUUGGAUCACUGAUCCAACUUGAUUUAUAUUAAAAUAUAUAAAAAAAUUAAAAUUACUUAAAUAAAAUAUAAUAUAAACAUUAAAAAAUAUUCUAUAUUAAAUAUCAUUACUUAUUAAUUACAUCAUGAAUAAAAGGAAUCAUGAAUUAUCUAGUUUAAAAAUCUUUAGAGAAAAUAUAUAAGAUUAUAGAAACAUAUUGAAAUUAUUGUUAUUUUUAAAUAUUUUAAUUGAAAAUUUUCAAAAUAUUAUAAAUAAUAAAAUGAAUUUAUUCAUUUUUAUUUUUAUCAAAAAUAAGAUGAUUAAUUUUUAUGCAAAUAAUUAAUUAUUAAAAUAGAAAAUACCAUACUAUAUUUGAGAUAAGUAUAUUUAUAAUAUAAAAUUAUAAAAUAGGUAUAAUAAAAUAUAACUUGAUACUGGAAGCUAAUAUUGUCAUAAUAGCCAAGUAGUAGGCAAAUGUCCAAAAGAUUUUAUAUUCAAUUCCCUAUACAAGUGUAUAUAUAAAAAUUAAUUUUCUUCACAUUUAAAAUUGUAAGCAUAUAUUUUUCAUCCGAAUUGAUACCGAAUAUAGGGGAUAACAUCCAGUUCAUUUUCAACUCUAAUCCAUUUACCGAUAAUUUUUCAAUCUUUUGUCACCAAAACAAUCGCUGCAAAUAUUUGUCUUUAAUGACCAUUUCAUCACUAAUUGUAUCAUUUUUUUAUAACCAACAAAAAUUCAUCACAAAAGAACAUUUUUAGCGACAACAUUAAAUCAUCAUUAAAACUCAUUUUUUAUCAUUAAUUUCUUGUCAAGUUGUCAUUUUUUGGCUCUUUAAUGAUAAUUUUUUAAUCUUUUGCCACAAAAAAAAAUCAUUAUUGAUAUUUGCUUUUAAUAGUCAUUUGUGUUUUGUCACCAAAUGUAAGCCCUUUUUUUUGAUGAUUUUAUAUUUUGGUCACUAAAACUUUUAGCCAUAAGGCCUUUAGUGGCCACCUAGUAACGAAAUAUUUUUGGACACUAAAAGCUUUUAGUGACGAAAGUAAAACAUUGUGGGACCAAUUUUUUUGUUGCUAAAAACCUGAAUUUUUAUAGUGAUAUCAUCGAUAAUGGAUUGUGCAAAAAUAUUUUAUCUCUUGAAUUUAUAAACAAGUUUAAUCUAAAGGUAGAGAAGUAUCUCUAACCAUAAAAAAAUCACUUGGUUCAAAAAUGAUAAUUAGGUAACUGACUCCAAACGUUGCAUUGUCAAUUUGUUAAUUAAUAGCACUUAUAUGGAGGAUGCAUGGUGUGAUGUAACACCGAUAGAUGCUGGCCAUAUCUUAUUGGGUCUUUUAGGCAAAUGACUGGUGGAUGAUCCAUGAUGGAAAAUAUAACACAUGCUCCUUCGAUGGAGUAUUGAUCAUGCUCUGACCGACAGAGAGAAUCCCCACCAAAGAAGGAAAAAAAAGAGGAUAGUCUCUUUACCAUCAAAAGCUUUCUCGUUGAAAAGGCUCAGGGCACAUCUACGUAGCCAUCCAUUAGGAAGAGACCAAUGUAAUCCAUUGCCCGAUAACAUGAAGCCACUCUUUAAGGAGUUUGGUAAUCUACUGCCUAAAGAGCUCCAUCGAAGUCUUCCCCAUGACAUCCAGCAAGCCAUAGACCACUUAUCUGAAUGCAAUAAAUAAUGGCCUGCCAUGAGUACGAGGGGCUAAACUAGUGGAUAAACCUACCAAUAUACUGAACUAGAAUUACAUCCUGUAGCUUAAUCUUUUGUGAACUCCUCAGCAAACAUGGAUGUACAGACAAAAUCCUUUUAGCUAAGGAGCAUUCAGAAGUGGACUGAGAGGUGAAUACAAGAAGAAAGAGUUCAAAAGCAUGCAAAAUCACAAAUGAACAGAGUCAAAAACAGAAAAAAGAGUCAAAAGAUUUCAGUUAGUAAAUCUGGGGACCCAGCCUCAAUGACGUUAAAGGACUAGUAGUCAAAAAAAAAAGAAAAGAAAAAGCAUAGAACUGAACGAAAAUUUAUUAAAAUUUGGUCAUCUUCAAGUCCAAAAAGAUGCAAUCAUUACAAACUAUAUCAAGUACAAUUUUAGCUAAUCCAAAAACUAAUAUGAUAAUGUGAUAGCAUUGCAAAUUACCAAGUAAAAAUUCACAAAACGUCUAAUAGAUUUUAUAACAAUGUUUUCUCUAACCGCCAAUUAAUCUAAUUGUGACCAAUAUAUUCUAUUUUAGAAAAUUUUACAUUGGAGAGGAAGCACUACUAAUGGCUUAAGCAUAGUCUUAUUCAAUAUCAGCUACAUAUGGGUUUUAUUUAUACUAAAACAUGUACCACCAGUAGUGCUAAUAAAAUAUAUUUUAAUCAAAAGAAUCAAAAUUAACAUGACACAAUUAGAUCAAACUAAAUAUUUAUUAUAUCUUUGGAAAGUGAAAAAACUCACUUGGAACUUCUUUUUAUUCUCUAUAUGCUUUUGGUAAUAAUGUGUCAAAUCUAUAUCUAGGUUGAGCAACUUCUAACCAAACUUGUUUUGACCCUAAAAUUUCGACUUAUGCUUUGUCAUUCAUCCUACUCAAAAAUCUGACUCUUCCUUUGGAUGGGGGACUAUCCCUGGGUUUCUAUAAUGGGUGGGACUCCCUCUUAUUCUCAAAAAUUUAAAUAAGUGGGUGGGAAUCCCUCCUAUUCUCAGAAAACCAAAUUAAAGAAGAGUUUCAAAGGGUUUGCAAGGAUUUAUGGGCUAUCAUGAAUUUUCACAGGAUUUGGUCCUCAAGUCCUUCAUAUAUGCAUGAAGAUAGUGUGCCAAAAAAUUUUGCUCAAACAAAAUGAUUCAUAUUUUUUUAAAAAAAAAAUUAUUGCCAUUCAACUAUUUUGGAAUGAGAAUGAACAGACUAGAGGGAAAGAGAUAAUAUGAAUGGAUCGAAUGAGAAAGAGAAAAACAUUUAUGCGUUUACGAGAUAGUCCCAUAAUAUCUGCUGGGCGGGACAAGCAAGGCCCAUCAUGUUACCUCAUAAAAUCAAGCAGGUCUUGAAUGGAACAUUCAUUGAGGAGUUCCUUCAAUAGAGAGAUUGCUGCAAAGUGAACUAGGUCUAUCUAUCAGCUGAAGGUAGUAGGUAGGUCCGAAUUAGAUGUUUCCGUGCUAGAAAUCGUGAAAAACAUUUUGUUAUGCAUAUUAAAUACAUAGAAUUUGAUUUAUGAGAACAAAGAAUAUAGUUGCUAAACCUUAACCAAGAAGUGAAUCUCCUAAUAUUUGAAAACUGACGAAUUCAAUCCCAUGGAAUGAAAACAUGGUAACUGACAGCUGAAUGGAAUUUCACCAAAUAUUCCAAUUAAUUCAAUACGACUCAGCUAUCUCGGAUACGAAAACUGAAGAACACCAAGCAGACUAUGGCAGAUAUCAUCAAGAAAACAGAUGCUACACCUACAAGGAGAUCGAGCUAAUUAUAAAUCCACAGAAACAAAGAUUUGCAGGAAUGGCAGGGCAAGAAUGUGACAAGAAACAAAAGUGAAUGAUCUGAGAAAUCUGGAUAGCCAUUCUUCUACAGAAAAUGAAAGAGUUACAUCAUAACGAGCUCAGACUGCAGCAAAUCUUAUACCAGAUAGACCACCCAUCAAAUGUGAGGACUUUUAACUAGUGACCAAUUCAGGGUGCAAAGCAAACAAUAACCACUUGAAAGCCCAUACCUGAUUCCUAUUCCAAUGCACAAGUGCAUCAGAGCAUAAGGAAGAGGCAUCAACAUUUUCUAAUGUAGAAGCGCCUUCUAUAUAUGUUACAAUAUGUAAAACAAUGAUUAAAUAUCAGAGAACCAAAUUAUAACAAAUGAGGGAAUAAGGGAGGCCAAGAAAUCUCCCUACUGACAGAUAGCACACCAUUCUACAGCAAUAGCUACAACAUUUGCAUAUUGCGGCGAGUAAUGUCCAGACCGCGCAUCAAAUAUUGAUCCUCAGGUGGCAUUCUAAUUCUCGCAUCUGUAUGAGGUUCUGAUAUCUUGUUGGGCAAAGGCUGUCUCCCUGUAGAUCUUUGAUAAUCAGCAGGUAUUCCAUAUCUCACAUCUGUCUGGGUUACUGAAAUCGUGUUGGACCAGGUUUCUCUCUCUGUUGGGUGUCGGUAAUCAACAGGCAUUUCAGUUUUCACAUCUGUGUAAGGAAGGCCAAAAACACUGUAAGCAGGAACUCCUGCGACCAAAUGGUAUGGAUCAAUAGUCUGAUUGUUCACUGAAACCCCAGAUCUGGCUUCUCUAUAGGAAGUAAAUGGGUAUUGGUCACUAUUCGUAUUGCUGGCAUAUCUAACAUAAGGACUAGUAGCAGCCAGCCUUAAUCUUGAACCAUGAAUCUCAUGCCCUCCAAAGUGAGCAUGGGGAUAUGAGUCUGUCGGUAAUCUGAACAGACCAGCAGAACCAAUUGGAAUUUUCAAAGCAUCACCUGAUAUAUCUCCCCAAGAAUUUGAAUCUGUUGGUGCUGCAGUAACCAGGGUGCCUUGACUUGACAGAGAUGACUUCUUGAAUUCUUGGUGUAGUAAUGCCUUAGCAUGCCUAAGAGCUUCCAACACACCCCCAAAGUUGCUGCUGGGUGCCAGAGACAACUGCAUGUCAGAUGCGUUUUGAAUAUCCAAUGAUCCCCAUUUGGAGAUUUUGCUACUAGAACUUGCAGAGGAAGGGCUCCCACUUGAUGGUAUGUCAAGAAUUACAUGCCCAGGUGGAAAUAGAUUUGGAUUGCUAGAAGCACCACUGUUAGAGUUCUCAUAUUUCAGUUCUUGUUUCUGCUUCUCCCUUGCGCUAGUAAAAGUGCUUCCUUUGGAAGGACGUGCAGUUUCCCCCACGGCCACUUCAUCACAUUGUUGAUGCAAGAAGUCAUCCCUGCAAAUAUGAGUAUUACUUCCAUUGGGAGCUCUUAUUACAUCAGUGUUCACAAAGCCAUCAGAGAAUGCUGCAGUGGUUGCUUCUUGGCUUCCACAAGUCUUUUCCAAAUCCGUAUAAUGAGAGAUUUGAAGAAUGUGGACAUUGGAGAGAAUUUCAGCUUUCAGUUCCUUUAUGGUGGAAAAAUUUUCGACUCCUGGUUUUGCCUCUUCAUUAUAAUAUGGUUUUUCAUCAACAUGCUCAGUGUCUUUAUCUUUUGGUUCUACACUAUGUUCAGUUACUUGAAGCUGGUUCCCAGAUUCACAAAAGCCCUGAAUUUGGAGAUCAAAUGUUAUAAAUCUAUUGCAAAUCAACAAAUAAAAUGUAAUUAAAGAAAACUGCAAAUUACCAGAAAACAGGUACUUUUUUUGGUACCAAAAAAAAAAAAAAAACAGGUGCUUCAGUAACAUAAGCAACAGCAAGGGAGCAAAAUUAAGAAAACUAAAUUAUCCAGCAAGUUAUGCAACUCGAUCAAAUAAAACUACAUCCCACCAAAGGUCUCGAGCAGAAAAAGAUAAAAACGGAGCACGACAGUGACAUGGUUCCCAUAUGGCAAAUGCCAAAAACUAGAACUGUUGAAAUAUUCUCUCUACGAAACACCAUAUAAGCAGUAUGCCCAACAUACCAUUCGUCCAACACCAUGUAAGCAGCACACUCAACAUAUCACUCUUGCAAACAUUAAGUGCCAACCACAACAAAAUAGGCCAAUGCAAAACAGCUCAAUUACUUAAUUCAAACAGUUUAAUACCAUGUCACCACCUUAAAUAGCCAAUAUGUAUAAACAUAGUCUGUCAAUGCCAAAAAGUGAGAUCCAUGAAAGCUCCCUNNNNNNNNNNUUCACAAAUUUCGAUACAAAGUCAACCAUCAUAACAUAUAGAAUAACAAAGCAAACAAUUCUCUAGAUGUAUAGUGUCUAUAUGCAAUUUAACUUUUCAAGUAUAUACUAAAGGACCAGCAAACUUGAUUAAAACAAUUCAUCCUACAGCCGGUCAACAUGUGGCUCCCAUGAAUUGUUCAGGAAAAGCAAAUAAAACAUCAGGAAAUAUAGAGAGAAUUACAUCUUGAACCAUUAUCAGUCAAGCUCAAGGACAUCAACCUUAUACAGCUUUUAUUCAUACAAAAACUGGUGAAGGAAAAAGACAAAAAACUAUUUUGUUAUCACUACUAUAUACCAUAGCGGGGACUUGAAUGUUUUAGUUUUUGACUCUUAUCUAUUGCUACAACUUCAAGAAAUGGACUGGACAUUGAUAAGGCAAAUGGAAAUGAAUGGAGUUUUUCAUUUCAUUAAGGAAAAUGACUACAGAACACAUGAAAAACUCUCAGUAAACCCCCCGGUAAUUUCAAAAGUGGUCUUCUAGAUGUUUCUCUUAAAGUUAAAAAUAUUUCCUGAUAACUUCCCAAGGUUUUCUAUGCAAAUCUCCAUAUAUUUCCCAUAUCAGCUGUCAGGAAAACCAAAUAAAAUCAGUUUCAUAAGUAGGUCCAGUAACUAUUAAAUGCAUAGGGAUGUGUUAUAGCAAGUCUUAAAUGCAUAGGGACGUGUUAUAGCUGUAGGACUUAACAGAAACCACGCAGGAGAUUAGAACACAAAAAACAUAGAUCAAUCCAUAAAGGAUCGAAGCAUACCUUACAAGCCCUAAGCAACCAUUAAUCAUCGCAGCAGAGACAGGGUAGAUCUUCAUCUUCAUCUCCUCCUUGAUGCCUAUUUCUUCAAUAAGAUAGGUGCCCCUAGGAACAUAGAGACCUUGGUGCCCUAGGAUUUCUCUACGGGCAAAUACACAUAGGAGUGGAGCGGGGACCUAGCCCAAUUAGUUAUGCUAAUGGGUCCACCCAUUACAAAGCCCAUUAACCAAAUCAGGCCUACACCAACACUCGCUACACCACAUGACUAAGACAACAGAGCCCAAAAUAACCAUAUGAUCACAAAUUAAUUAUGAGCUUCUUAAUAUUCAUUCAGAUGGCAACUUAGCCUGUAUCACAUAACAAAUCAAAUGAAAAUCAGUCCACAAUCAAAGGAAGCCCACCUUUAUAAAAAUUCCAAUAUUCUCCCACUUGGGCGACAUUAAUUAAAACUUAAAUUUUAAAAAUAUAUAUAUAUUAUUAUAUACAUAUAUGUAGUUUGAAAAUGACUCCCGAACUAAGUUCACCUCAUGUGACCACAUGUAUGAAUGUCCUAAAUAAAUAACAUCUUAAGUCAAAAAUACGGUCCAACAAAACCACUAACAUUGCAUUAUAGCAGUCUUUAUAUCAUUUACUGAUACAAGACUCUUCUAUGAUUACAAAUGUUAGUAAUCUUCUUGACAUGGAUCUCAGUGAUGUAGUGUGUGUAGGAUGAACUUUGUACCCUUAUGUGAUCAAACAUACAUAGUUCAUCAUCAGCCCACUAUAGUCUCAUAGCGAAACCUCUUAUGUGCUUUCAAAUGAAAGUUGCCAUAACAACGUUAAGCUUAUGUCACAAUUUCACCUUUAUAUAUCAAGACAAACCAUGAUAUCAAUUAUAACAUAAGCAAUACCUUUAUGCAUAAGCAACACCUUUAUGCUUAAGACUUUCAUUUAAACAACAUUUACAAACAACCAUAUGUGCACAAAUGUAAACGUGAUAUUCCAAUAUGAAAAUAAUAGAAAAGAUACUUUAUGGCAUCCAAAUAAUAUUUAACAAAAUAAUGCUCCUACUAACCAAGUACAUCAAAAGACCGCAAUAGACCCAUGUUUUCAACAUAUUUAACAAACACAUUGGAUCUAAGUACUUUGGUUAAUGGAUAUGUCAGCAUUGCAUCAAUCUCUAUAUGCUUAAUAACAUCUCCAUUUUUAACCAAAUCUCUGACUGUGAGAUACUUUAUCUUUAUAUGUUUAGAAGCACUGGAAAAAGGGCACUAGAACUCUCACUAUUCUUUGAAAUGAACACGGCAACACUAUUAUCACAAUAAAUCUCAAAUGGUUUUGAGAUGCAAUCAAUAAUCACAAAUCUUGAGAUAAAGUUCCUCAACCAAACAACAUGAGUUGUAGCUCCUAACAUGCCACAAACUCUGCCUGCAUAGUAGAAGAUGCCACAAAAAGUGUUUUGUUCUUUUUCAAGAAACGAUCCCUCUAGCCAUCAUAAAAAAUAUAACCCAAAGUAAAUUUCAUAUCAUCCACGCAACCAACAAAAUCAAAAUCACAAUAUCUGUUACCUUAAGAUGAUCAUACCUACUAUAAGCCAGCAUAAAUUUUUUUUAGUUUUUUGUAAGUAUCUCAUAACCUUUUUAGCUGCCUUCUAAUGCUCCAUGCCCAGAUUUGUCAUAUAUCUGUCAAGUACACUAACAGCAUAUGCUAUAUCCAAUCUGGGGUAGACUUGUGCAUACAUCAAAACUACCCAUAACACUAGAAUAAGGCACACUCUUCAUGGAUUCUCUUUCUACAUCAUUCUUAAGACAUUGGCUUCUACUGAAUUUAUCUCCCUUGACCAUAAGUACAUCUUUAGCUUUGUAAUUAUGCAUACCAAAUCUACUCAAUACAUGAUCAAUGUAAGCUCUCUGAGACAACCCCAAUACACCACAUGUUCUAUCCUUGUGAAUCUCAACACCAAGUACAAAUGAAGCUUCUUCAAGAUCCUUCAUAUCAAAAACCUUGGAUAGCAUAUAUUUAGUCUCAUCUACUGAAUUUAUCCUUCAAUAACCUAGAGUUGUUACUAGUAAACAAAACAUCAUCCACGUACAAGACAAGAAAGAUAGAUCUACUUCCAUUGACCUUAAGGUAUAUGCAGUGAUCCACUUUAUUUUCCACAAAUUCAAGAGAACUCACAAUGUCAUCAAACUUAAGAUACCAUUGUCGCGAUGCCUGCUCAAGACUAUAAAUGGAUUUCUUAAGUUUGCAUACUAUAUGCACCUUUCCACUUUCAACAAAACCUUCUGGUUGAUUCAUGUAGAGUUCUUCAUGAAGAUCACCAUUCAGAAAAGUUGUCUUAACAUCCAUCUGAUGAAGCUCUAAGUCAAAAUGGGCUACUAGUGCCAUAAUUACUAUGAAAGAAUCCUUACAAGAUACCAGAGAAAAAGUCUCAUUGUAAUAUAUGCCCUCCUUUUGAGUGGAUCCUUUUGCAACCAUGCCUUGUAGCAUUCAAUAUUACCAUUAAAGUCCUUUUUGGUUUUAAAAAACCCAUUUACACUUUAUAGGCUUAAGCCCCUCAGGUAAUUCCACAAAAUCCUAUACUUCAUUGCUAGCCAUGGACUGCAUCUCAUCACACAUGGCUUCAAGCCACUAGUUUGACUGAAAACUUGCAAUAGCUUGAUCAUAUAAGACUGUAUCAAGUAUCAACCAUAUGACCAAUAUCAUAGUUAUUCUCACCUAAAUAGACCACAUAAUCAUUAGGAAUGAAAUUCUCCUUUCUCUAAGUGAUCUUAAUAGUAUUUCGUUAACUAGCUAUGGAGGUGCUAUUAUCGAUUUAGUUAUCUGUUGUCGUUCUUCUACUAUCCCUUCAACAGGAUGAAAUGUGACCUUUUAUGGAUGACAGGAAUAGGAACAAUAACUUAUCUUUCCUCUAAUGUCACAUCUCCAAUAUGAGAACAUCUACAAUCGUCCAUAUUAGACUCUAGAAACAUAGCAUGGAUAGACUCAGCAAUCUUCAUGCCUCUGUCAGGGUAGUGGAAUCUAUAUCUUUUAAAAUUAUCUGGAUAGCCAAUGAAACAAUAAGUGGUUAUAGGUCCAAACUUAUUCUCUAAUAGCUUAUAAAUUUUGACUUCUGUAGGGCAACCCAAAAUAUGAAAGUGAUUAAUACUAGGCUUCCUUUCAACCCAUAAACUCAAAAGAUGUCCGGGGAACUAUCUCAUUAGGAACCCUAUUUAAGAUAUAGAUGGUGGUCUUUAAGACCCUACUCCAGAGAUAUCCUGGUAAAUUGUAGCAGCUUAUCAUGCUUUUAACUAUAUCCUUAAGAGCGUGAUUAUGUCUCUCAACCACACCUUUUGCUUAGGGGUUUCAAGCAUAAUGUAUGGAGCAACUAUCCCACACUCGUGCAAGUACUUGGCAAAGGAUCCCAUUUAUGGGCUAAAUUUAUCAUGUCGACCAUAAUAUUCACGACCACAAUCAGAUCUCACCACCUUAAUUAUCUUUCCACACUGCUUUUCAACCUCAGAUUUUAAAGAUUUUAAACUUAUCAAGUGCUUCGGAUGUUUUUUCUUCUUGAGAAGGUAUGUCACAUAUCCAUAAUGAGAAAAAAUCAUCAAUAAAGUAAUAAAGUACCUACUACCACAAAUAGCAGGAUCUAGGGUCCACUCAUAUUUGUAUGAAUGAGUUCUAAAAGUUUAUUACUACGUGUGGAUUCCUUUCUUUUAUCUUUGGUAAAUUUUCUCCAAAGACGAUCAACAUAAGUAUGAAAAUUACCAAAGUUAAGUGAAGGCAGAAUUUCAUCAUCAAUUAACCUUUGAAACUUCUCUUUAAAAUAAAAUAUGACCCAAUCGCUUAUGCCACAAUAUAGAGAAUUUAUCCUUAGCCAAUCGCUUUUUAGAGACAAUACCAUCUACAUACAUAGUUUUUUUAUUAUUAUUAUUUUCCUUUUUUUAUGACCCUUUCUUUUACUAAAGAAGCACUUAAGAGCUUUCUUAAUAGCAGCUUGUAGGCCCCCAGGAUUCUGACUUUUACUCCAAAAUUGUGAGUAUGACCAUCCCUUUUGAAACCAUUACCUUUUUCUUAUUAUAUUUGGGACCCUUAUGGCGUUACCAUACACCACAUUAUGACUCUCACCCUUUUCCCUAAGAUAUUUUUCUUUCUUUUGAACAUAAACAGAAAUGAAUUUAUUCACAUUCUAUUUAUCCUUCUGCAUAUUAUAUGUGGUUUUAAGCUGACUAAAUUGCACAAGGAGAGAAUUAAAAGGUUCAUGCACAAGAAAAAUAGUAGGAAUAGAGAUGCCAAGACUACUAAGCUUGGAUGCAAUACUUUCUAAUUUUAUGUUGCAAGCCCUAACACCAUCAAUACCAUCAUACCUCAUAUUGAUUAAUUUAUCCAUUAGCUUUCUACCCUCAGUCUUAUCAUAUUCUACAUACCUCUUACUUAUAGCAUCAAAAAAUUGCCUAGCAUUAUCAUUGUCAGAUAUAGCAUCUAGAAUGAAAUCUGAUAUGGACCUCUCCAUGAUCAUUAGGCUAAAAUGAUUAGCUCUCUCCCACUUUUUAUAGGCAGCCUUCUGUUCUAAAGUACUACUAGUAACUUUAGAUGGAGGAUCAUCCCUGAGUGCAAUAUCCAAAUCCAUCAAACACAGCGCUAGCUAAAUAUCAAUUUUUCAUAUUUUGUAGUUUGUUCUGGCCAGAGUUUCAAUGAGAGCCAUAGUGUAAUCAGCAAAGGUGCUAGUUGAUAGACAACCUUUAUGCAGUUAAUUAAUGGAUAGAUAUGGGUAACCAGCAUGCUUGAAAAUAUUUAUAAGCAUUGCUUCAAUGAGAACCCUUGGUGCAAUGCCACAAACUUUCUUUGGGAAGAAAGAGACCCACAAAAGGUACCCCUCCAAUGCAUAGUAGAAUCGACUAGAAAGGUAUCAUCAGUUUUCAGAUGUCCAUCUACUUUGGUAGAAUGAAUCUCUAGACCAUGCACACUAACUAGUCAAAAAAAUAUUCCACUUCAGAAUUAUAACACGCAACAAACUCCCUUUGGGGAGAUGAUUGCAUGCAAUAAUUCCACCACGCUUCUCAAUCCUUUUCAAAAUAUCAAACAGAAGAAUCCUACAAAUUUUAGUGAAUGGGCCACUUUGGUGGUCACCGUCCAUUGAAAUUCACAACCCUCCAAAAAAAAUAGGAAUUAACAAGCCAUGCCCAUAAAUCCAUUCAUUAACCUUAAUGUGCCAAUACAAUGCAAUUUAUAAAAAUUAACAUGACUUUCAAUCCCUUGAAACACCAAAUAGAGGGAAAAUAGAGGGAUCCUGCCAAUCUCAAUGAAUAGGCCACUUUGGUGGUCACCAUCCACUCAAACCUACAACCCUCAAAAUUAG